Long non-coding RNA from Homo sapiens (human), 1155 nucleotides. NCBI's taxonomy places the organism in Eukaryota, Metazoa, Chordata, Mammalia, Primates, Hominidae. The record is from Ensembl.
CAAACUUCAUCUCUGGCUCAUACUUCUUCUUUGAGUUUCUAGCCCAUAUAUUCACAGGCCUAUCUGACAGUUCACCUGCUUUUCUCAAAAGCAUCUCAAACUAGUUUCUCCUGGAAAGGGCUCUGGUACCUGCAGGCCAGUUACGGUGAGGCAGAUAUGACUGACAGGAGGCCGCUAUUCUACUCACCAGACCCUCUGCUCCUCCUGGGCCGCGCCACCGGCAGACGCUGACUGCUGUCUCUGCGCAGCACCAGCUGAGAUUCGCUAGGGGGAUACAUCGACGCCGAGAUCCAGAACUGCUUAGCCAAGUUGGCAUCUUGUUCCGAGGAGCCAGCAAAUACCAGUAAUCCCGGGGGGCACAUUUCCUGGGACUCUUUUCGGCCGCUAGGUUCUUCGCUGGGUCCCGUUUCCAUGGCAACUGAGGACGCUUCUGCAAGCGUCCUCUCCCCUCCCCCCGCCCCGCCCCUGCCCCGCCCCUCCGAGAACCGCCAAGUUGGUACCAGCCCCUGCCGGCUGCCCUCGGUUUCCUAGGUAGGUGUUGGGAUCCGCCACGCGCGUGGGGGCCGUCGGAAGCCCACCCCUGCGGUGAUCAGGUUUUAGGACCAGUCCAAAUCUUGGAUAUGGGAGAGUCAAAACGUCAACUUUGGGUUGUGUCCUGUCGGAGUCAGUGGGGGAGUAGUUUAGCUUCUUAUAUCCUCAGUGGGCUGCCACAUCCUCUCCCCUCCCCCCAGAAAGAUAGCUAAAUAAACUUUAAAUUCCUCAGCCCCAUUGCCCCAAUCCCCACUUCCAAACCAGAUUGCCAGGGACAGCACCUGCUAGGUGGAAGUUCUGAGAACGUUGCGCUGGAGAAUUCACGCCUGAAAGCCUAGCCCUUGGGAGCUAGAGGCCUGAACUGGGCGGAUACGUGCCCAUGUGUACAGUUUCUGUGAUUUUAAAAUUCUGAAUCCUUUAAAUCUUAGGAAACAAGCUGGAUUUAAAGUGUAAGUGCAUUUACUAAUCACUCCCACUAAAAGUUGCAUAGACUCCAACAGUUGUAAAUGAUUACUUAAAAGAAGGGAUACAUCUUAAUGAGUGAACAGAGUCUCUUCAUGGAAAAAAGAAGUAUGAAAAAUUUUGUUAAUGUAUUUCUUAUAAAAGUAUUAACAAGUCUGUGUG